Molecule: long non-coding RNA, 1684 nt
Filed under: Schizosaccharomyces pombe (fission yeast)
Lineage: Eukaryota; Fungi; Ascomycota; Schizosaccharomycetes; Schizosaccharomycetales; Schizosaccharomycetaceae
Source: RNAcentral
AAUUUGAAGGAAACAUUCCGGUAUUUCCAGUAAAAACCCCAUCUUCACCCAGUUUCUCCCCAACCCACCAACCUUCAUCAAUUUCUUUUAAAACUAAAAGAAGAUCUCCCUUUUUUAGUUUUAACUCAUUUUCUGUUUCUGGCUCAAAUGAAUAUUUCAUUCGUACUACCUUUCUGGAUGAAAUGGAAGCAAGUGGAGAUGAAUAACUACGAUUAAGCUUGCUCGGGGGAGCAUCAGAAAUGUUGGAAGGUGAAGGGGAUACAUUACACUGAGACUUCAACUUUUCAUCCAAUUCUGCCGACGAAGCAGAUAAUUCCGGUUGUUUAAAACUUAACUGGAUAUCCUCCUCACUUUGUAACGAUGCCGGUUUGACUGGGGUACUUUGAGUCGUAGACAGUUUGGGUUUGGUAUGACGGGGGAUUGGAGGUGAUGAGGGAGUUGUUAAAUCUACAGCAGACUGCCCCAAUGAAUUUUGAGCAUCCGAAACAUCCUUGUUAUAAUUAUCUUCAGUAUGCUGUGUUCUAUUUGAAGAAGCUAUGGAAGAAUUGUCCAGGUCAGCUUCUGUAUGGUAAGAAGGGAGUGUAUUGGUGGGAGAAUGAUAUUCAUUUGAAGAACUAUCGGCCUUUAAAGUAUCAUCCAUUUCAAAAAUGGUAUUCGAGGGCGUUGUUGCAACAUUUGUUGAAGAAAUAUUCGAUGGAAUAGAUCUUGCGGAAUAAGUACGCUUUGGAAUAUUAACGUUAUCCCUCUUCUUGGAAAAUCCGUUCAUCUCAAGUCCCUUUAACAAAUCGAGACUUUUUUGAUGAAAUCGUAUUUGCAUCUGUAGGAGUCGUACAACGUUUUCGACACGAUCAGGCUAAAAAUUAGUUAACAAAAAUAUUGAGUCAUAUAAGAUAAGUUAGGCAGGCCUAAUAAUCGUUUAAUUAUGGCAUCAAAUUGGUAACGAAUGUCAUUAGGACGAUAAUACUUACCUCUAAUUCUUUCAAUUGAACCAUUCUGUCUUCAAACUCUUCCAGAGACUCCUCGUAUUUUGCGCGAGCAUUCCGUAAAUCUUCUUCAAGCUUUGACUCUUCUUUUUUGGCCUUCUGUAUUUUUGUAGAAAGCGCGUCAAAGACAAGUCGUCGAUUUUCCAUCUUCUUUUCCUUCACAUCUAAAGCCUUAAACUCGGCUAAAGAAUUUUCUAGAUUUGCCAAAAAAGAAUUGUUCAAAUAAUCCAUAAACUCCUCCUGUAGGUGCCCUAUUUCAACCAUGCUUUUUCCGUACAUGAUAUAAGUGUGCGAAUUGCUUGAAGAAUGCGAUAAUGCUUGCCCUAACUCUACAAAAGACGAUCCAACGUGAGUAACAGGUAAUUGCUUAUCUUUCUCGUCGAGCAGGCCCUUUCGUUUAUCCAUAUUCCGUACCCAUCUUGUGCAACUUCUAUGAAUUUUAUCCAUUCCCACAAGCCAGGCAUCCGUUUCACCUUUCAAGGAACAAAAAUCAUCAGAUAAUGUAGUCUUCUGACGAUCAAAACCAAAUUUUUCACCGGUCCAUUGUGAAAGCUUUGCAAAAUGUUUGUUCAUCUUCAAAGGAGAGCUAAGUUCUUGAAUCGACAAAUAAUAAAAGCGAGUCUAUUUAUUUUUAUUUUAGGUUGUAGGAUUCAGAAUAAGUUAACCAAUAUAGUAGUAAAUAAUACAUAAAAACAAUUUGG